UGAUAUUAAAAAAGAAAAAAAUAUAUUUAUUUUAAAUAUGAAUUACAUAGGAAACUACAUAGAAAUGCAGCAAAUGAGAAAUUCUGAAUUUCAACUUGUGUUUGUAAAUGGGAUGCUGGAGAAGAGAGCAACAAGUUUAAAUGCAAAAGCUUUAGAAGCACUUUGGUUUUGACACCUAAAAUAAUCUCCCAAGAAUGAGCAAGGAAGAGGCAAAGAGGUGAUCUGUCUAAUGUAUUAUUAUUACCUUUGGAAUAAUACCAGCCUGUCUAUUUUCUCCCAUUUGUACACGCAAUCUGACCCAAAGCCAGUCGUGGCCUCUCUUUCCCCCCAGUUUCCUGUCUGCUACACUAAGAACUGGGUGAGAGUGCAGUGAAAACAAGAUCUUCCUUGAGGGCUGACUUUCAGAGCACAGGUGACCAUGACCAUCAGUGUCCUGAUGUAAUGAAUAGGGCUUUGUGAGAGAAGGGACCAGCAACCACCUCCAGUUUUCCCACACACAUUCCUAGUGUUCUACCCUUGAACUUUGUCUUCUGCAGUAGGAAGGCUUCCAAGUAGAAGACUUCCAAGAAUGACAUUUUCAUGGCUAGUGCCACCGUGGGAGGAUGAUAUCUGAAGUUCUUUUAGUCUGGAAUAGGAAAAAAAGUGAAAAGGGAAAAAAAAAUCUGUGAGUCGUUGAGCCUAUUAGGUACCACUGAACUGAAAUCAGCUUUGUUGCAAUAAAAAUAAACAAAGUUCUCCAAAGCGAGCUUCUUAAUGCUGGUAGUGCUGGAUAUUCUUCUGUCUGCACAGCACAAUUUGUGGGACACGACGAUUUCUCUCAAAUUACUCUGUGGAGUCUCUUUGGAUGCUUAGAAGAAUGGGUCUCCUAGCUCUGGUGGAGUAGCAGGGUUAUUAAAACAUGGUGAGCUGUACUGAUUUCUGCAAUUAAUCAUGACUGAUUUAUCACUUGAUUGUAGAAAUGCAGCCUAAAUAGAUUUUUUCCAUCUCCCUUGCUCCCUAAUUGAUUUUUUUUUUUUUUUUGGAACACUGAAGCUUUGACUUCCUCUCAUAAAAUAGAUUAGAGUCAUUAAGACUGUGAGCUGUAUAAUCAUUCUGCUGCAUAAUUACUGUUACUACUGUUGUCUUCUGGUUUACAGUGUUUCUUUAUUAGCAGCUCCUAUUGCCAGAAGGUUUAAGCAUUUAAUAAUCUGUCAAGGUGGUCUUUUGCUUGUUUUUUUUUUUUUUUUUUCUUUUUAACUUGAAGACCUUUUUGGCAAUAUCUUUAAACACCUGGCCAGGUCAGGUACUUUAAUACUCACUUAUCUCUGUCUAGUUGGCCUCACAUUGCUUUUUUAAUUAGUCGUCUUCUGGAUAGCCAGUUACUCAUUCAUCAUAUAUGAAAUGUAAGCAAGUCACAUGCAACAAUAACAAGCAGUUGGAAAUCAGAGCUUCCAGACAUGUUAUUGAGAUUGAUGGCCAUAGAGGGCACAUCAAGCAAGCUUUUAUCAGUUAGCAUAAGCAAAAGAGCCUGACCUAGCAUUCAUAGUAAAUGCAGGCUGCAGUGGUUUCCACAACACAGAGGAUUUAUACUUCCUGAGGAGUCCUGCUAGGCCUUGUCUCAGUGCUGAUGUGUCCAUCGGACUCUGGCCAUCCCAGAAGGGUGGGGAUGCUGAUUUAUGGUGUUUUGCUGCAGUGGUGGACAUUGGUCUGCUCUGGGGUCCAAGCUGCAAGGUGCAGCAGUGCCCAACAUGAGAGGAGCACUGAGCCAGGCAGCCCUGUCUCCCACCAGGACAAGGCUCUGAACAUCCUGCCGAAGCGGCUACUAACGCAAAGCACCUGCUGCAGCCACAGGUGCGGGUUAGCUCUUAGCCUGCAAGAGAAUCAGAGCCUGGAGAGCAUUGGGAAGCACUGGGAGAAAUGAGCAGUUCACACCAGAUUUUUGAAACUAGAGAUGUGGCUGUCCAUCAGCAGGUACAGGGUUGAGGCAGUGAGCAAGAGAUCAAUUCUCCCUGUCCUUGCGCAAGAGGACAAAACGUAAUGGAAUUCCCUAUGUUACAAGUGAGAAGAAAUUUCUCAGUGCUAGAAGAUAGGGAAGCCUUGGAACAGAUGGCCUGGGGAUCUGGUGGCAUUUCAGCUGCUGGCAAUCACUGCAGAGGGAGAGAGAGUCAAGUCUGUCAAAAAUGACAUAGAUAUAAUAGAGCCUCCCUCUUGGCAAGGCAGCGGGUCAGGUCGCCUCUUAAUUCUCUUUCCUGGCUGGCUCACUCUGUGUGUGCAACUGCAAACCAGAGGGAACAGAAAUGCUGUGAUUUGCAUGGACUGGUCCUCCCAGAAGCUGAAAACAAAAAUGCAGAGCAGUUUUUGAUGGACACAAAAAGAAUGAAAUCCUAAUGAGGGUAGUGAAGAAUUAUAACUGCAAAGAAUGAAGAGACAAAGAUUAAAAGUGGAAAAGAAUAUACAUAUUUUUAAAUAAAAUCUUCUGGACUACUGACAUCUUUGUAAUUAUGUGUUGGGACAGUGUUUCCUAUUAUUUUAGAAUUUCUUCAGUCAUUUGGGGGUAAGCUUUUAUAUUAAUGGAAGUAACUGUCUGCAUUUCUUAUAGCACUUUGCAAAUGCCUUAGUUUAUCUUGCCAGAGGAAACUUGCAGAUAUUAAUUCUUGGGUUUUGUCUUGUCUAUAUGAUAAUCCAAGCAAGAUUUGAACAAUUUUAGUACAAUAGUCUUCUCUUAGGAAAGCUUUGAUUGCACUAAAACAUACUCUGAUGUGCUAAUCUCUUAACCUUCUGGAGUUCAUUAUUUGGACAGAUAAAAAUUGAGUUUAAAGUGACCCAUAAGGUCUUCUUGCCAAGAUAUAAUCUAGUUAAAAUUUUCUCGAAUUGAAUUACGUGGACUGCAUACCAUGUAUUGAUUACAAAAUCUUCUUAAUGGAGUCGAAUAGUAAGACUCUUGACAUGAUUUUUUUCCCUUUUGAUGGACUCAGUUUUUAACAGGCACUUCAGCAUUUUGUUUUUUAGUGCUGUCACCAGCUUGAUAGCUUCUCAGUCAUAUAAAGCUUUGACCUCUCUGCCACUUUAUUGAUUGAAGAAAAACAACUGCAAAGUUAACUAGUCCUGUGCCAUUUAUGAAUAUGUUUUUUUUAUUACAUCACUAUGAAGAAGCUGAGGGCUACUUUGAAUAAUGCCCUGAAGGACUGGUGCUGUGGCCUUGAUUUAAGGAUGUAUCCUUUAUGGUUUUGAAAUAGAAGUUUUAAAUGUUGUUUUCAAAUUUCCUUUUUACCAUGAUAUAUAAUUCUUUAUCUGGUUCUAUCUUUCAGACAAGAGCAAAGCCAAACAAGGGAGCAGGUAAGCGCGUAGAGGAGAUAUCUUCAGCUGUUACCCAUCAUUUCUGGAUGUGGGUGAGGAGUUAGGCAAGUUAAAGUCAAGAAUUAUUCUCAGGUGUUGGAUAAAGAGAAGAGUCCCAACUCUAUUAAUGUCUUCUCUGGUCCCAUCUAUGGCUUUACUUUGCAAAACUCUUUCUGUUCUGGAUUUGGGACCCCAACAACUGCAGGCUCCUGUAGGCCUUCUCAUCCCUGCGCUGUUCAGUGACCUACACUGAAGACAGCAGGAAGAUGGUGAUGCCCCUACAAUUAAUUGCCAGAAUAUGUGGAAAAAGAAGCAAAGAUGAUGUGGAGUCUGAAGGUCACUGCAGGGAGGAUGUGCUGAGUCUUACUGUGAACAUUAAAGGAAAAUCUAAACCUGCUCAGGAAUUAUGGGCUCUUGAACUCUGACUGACCUCCUCCAGUAGAUUUGCUUUUAGAGAAUAUUGUUUGAUUAGUGAUAUUAGGUUCUGAAUGCUCUGUAGCUCAUCUGAGUGGAUUGACAAGUAAGGGAAUAGAUUGCUCUGUGAAAAAUAAUAAUAGUAAUAAUCCAAAGAUGAUUUUCUAAGUGUUGAAAAUCCCAUGCAAAAACCUUUUCUCAUAGGCAGAUCCUAUUCACUUAAGUGAAACAAUAACUUGGUUUCAGAGGAAAAAAAAAGUAUAUGAAAACAAUUGUCCCUUUUUCAAGAUAGUCUUGCAGCAAGCCUGAGGUUAACAGUAUGUGUUCGAUUCAUCGUAAUUACUAGAAAUGUUUCAUCCAUUCAGAAGCCUUGGCAAUACCCCCAGGACUGCUAAGCUUUAAUAUAAGCUGUUUUUCUCUUUUAUCUCUGUUUUUUCUCUCACAUGAUUUCCCCUUUUCUUUACUCUAGGUGUCGAGCUUUUGUUGAUUUUUUUCACUUGGAAAGGGUGUAUAUUUUGAAGUAAUGACUGGUCAAAGAGGAGUAUCAGUGCAUUUCAAGGAGCAAAGUGUGAGAGAUUUUCAGCUUGAUCUCAGAAAAUUGAUGUAGUCCACAUUGCAUACUGCACUGCACCUCCAGUUUGGACAGGAGAGGAGCUGUGUUAGCAAAUGCUCAACCAAAUGUAAAAACAUUGCUAAAGUAAUGGACUCCAACAAAGAUCCAAUUUCACUUUAGGGGAGAAAAUUGAUCUUCAGAAAAGCGAUUGGAGCUGCAGGUUUCCUGCUGUGGGAGAACCCAGGCUACCUGGGAUGUGUUCAGGAAGUGCUGCAAUAGGGACGUGAAAGAGACCUUGUGUUCAUCUGGCCAGACUCCUCAUCUGAAUGCAGCCGGUGGGCUCUGCACUUGUAAAAUAUUACUACUUUCCUUAGCAGGCAGUAUGAGUGCAGUUUAGCUACUUACCCAUAUGGGACAAAGGUUGCAAAAAUUCAACAUGUCAUCAAGGCAAAAGCCUAACAUGAGCUGCAUAGUGAGAAAGGUGUUUCCCAAGCCAAGCAUUGUGCGGUACGUGGACCAAGGAAAACCUGACAGCAGCCUGGAGAAAUGUCUAUUGAACAAAAAGACUCACAAGACAGUGAAGGUUUCUAUUGUCAGAUCUGUGCUUGAUGUUACAAGGGACCCACCAGGCACAUAUGAUGUUGUCGUAUGUCUGUUUUCCUUCCUUGGGAAUGAAAUAUGGAGUAUUUCAUCAGAAGAAAUAUUGGUUUCCUUUGGUGAGUUUUUCAUAGAUAAGACACAUCUGAAAUGUUAAGAACAUUAAACACAUGUAUGCUUUGUUAUUUAAAAUACAGAAUAAAUGGUAACUGUAUGGGAGUAUUGUACACGUCACACAGCUUGAACUUUCUUUCUGGCAGAUUUCUUAGCUCAAGCCUCUAAGUGAGUCAAGAAGGCUGCCAAAAACACCUGAGUAAACUCAACUAGUUAAGAAGAAACUUCUACACAAAAAAAAGAUGCUUGCUAUUGUUAGGCAGUAUCUUGCUGCCAUUCCCAUAAUCAGAAGUACCGUCAUUUAUCUACACAGUACUGGUGAGCUGUUCUAACUAUGCAUUUCUCAGUGAGUAAUCUGCAGCGUGGCUGGCAAAAAGCGCAGACUGACUUCCUUUAGCACCCUCUUGUGUAUGCCUCAUAUUCAGGUGUAGAUGCACAGUUAAACCUUUUUUUCUUUCCUUCUAAUGUAUACGCUCUUUGCACCUUAACAAUAUAAUUGAACUGCUGGACUCUGAGCAGCCUUUUUUUGGUACACCAGGUAAACUGGUAACUACUUGCACCUGUAUUCACUUUCAGAUGUGGAUAUACCUAUCGGUAUGUUUUUCAGCAAAGACUGUAUUGAAAACCAAAGCUCAGUCCCCUUGAGAUAUUACUUCAGAGGGAUGGAAGAUAAAUGAUCAUUUUUCUCCAAAAUGACUCAUUUCACACAAUUUGCAGUUUAGUAGAAAUGUACUCAAAUGAGAGAGCCAUCAAUUAAAGAAGUCUACAUUCUUGCCUGUGGGCUAUACUAAGAUAGCUCCACUCUGUAUAAAAAUGUUAAUGUAUUUAGAUGUGACAGAAAGGAGGGAAAUUACAUUAAUUCUUGGCUGUGUUCUGUGAAGGUGCCAUACUAACGCACAGUGUGACACCAAACUAAACUUUCAGCCUUUUAUUAUUAUUUUUUUUUUAAACAAAGCCUCACUUCUUUUAAGAACUACUUUCAUUGUUUGUCCUCCCUCUCCCCCCCCCCCAAAGAAAAUAUAUCUAAUGAAGCCUUAACCCAAGCUUUUACCACGAUGGCUUCAGAAGGUAGAACAAGUUAGAAAACAAAAUAACUUGGGUUAUGUUAGGAGUGCAUCUAUAAUUUUUAAAGCUAUUAGAGAAAUGAUCUUGCAAAAGUAAGGUGUUCCUCUGUUUGCAUAGUAAGGUAUCCUUUUCUGCUGCUAUGACUUCAGAGCAAACACAGUGAAAAGAUAGUCUGGUGAUGUAAUCCAUCAUAACUAAACCCAAACAUAACUAAACCUUAACCUUGAGGAGUACUUUGUUAUUCCUGACACUUUAGCUGGCAUUUGAAUAUAGCUCUGUCAGCACUGAGCUGGUAAUUAAAAACAACGUCACUGUUAAUGGUUCAACAUUCUGCUUAAGGAAACAGCCAACAUCCUCAACUGUAUGGGAACUGAUGAAUCAUGGCCUGAACCUCUGACCACCUGAGGCGAGCACUGAGUCAGUUGCGUGAGCACAGGUGAAGGCAUUGUGGAUGGAGCCAUGCAGAUGCCGCCAUCAGGUCAUAUAUGCUAUUUCAAGCUGCAUGCUGAUAAGAUGCAUCUGUUUUUAUGGGUUAAAACUAGGUAGCUCACUGCUUCUCUUUAGGUGAGGUACAUACUGGAGGUUCCAGGGGCUUCAGACUCUUUAGUCCCAAAACUUUCCCUAGGGAUUGCAUAGCCCUGUUACUUCAGCUGCUUUUUGUUUCUUUCCAGACCACCUGGAUGGGUUUAUGCAUUGAAAGAUUACUUGGAAAUUAAGCGUGAUGCACUCUCUCUCACCUUUAAGCCCUUGAAUGAUCCUCUUUUAAAAAAAAAAAAGACGAAUAAAUACACCUUUCACUCUUAGUAAAGGUGUUUGCUUUGAUUUGUUAUAGACCUUAGAAAUUCAGUACUUCCAUCAGCUGUCAUGACUACCUCAGGUGAGGAAAAAUUUUAAAAGCCUUCCUUAUUACUCAUUCAAUAGAGGUAUGAUCACUGCUUGACCUGUACUUAAAUGCCGUGUACGCAGAGCCAGAGGCACACCAGUGAGAGGUCAGCAUGCCCUGCACUGGCGGUACCUAUAGUGCUUUUGGAUGGGAAUUUGUGAGCUGUGAAAUCAUUUAGCAAGAGAGCUAACACAAAUCUUGCUAAAGCUCUGUCACACUAGGACAGCAUGUAAAAUGGCUUGCUGAAUAUCAAAUGUUAUUCUUAUACUUUUUAUAAAACAGAAUAGAAACCCUAUAAAUCUAUAAAUAAAUUUAUCCUAUUAUGAUGGAGAAGUGCCUGUGACAAGAAAGAAUUUUAAAUCCCACCCUUUUUUUUUCUUUGACCUGACAGUAGCAAGUCGUCCCCAUCCAUUAAUUAUGGGAUAAGUGCUGCUGCUUUACUAUAGGAAACAUAUGGAUAACUACACUAAACUAUUUUCUGCAGUUGAGAGGAAAAACCACAAGAGAGAUACACCCAGACCUACACAGCCAUGGUGUGUUCCCAGGCCCACUUUUGGAAAGGCCCUGACUAGGCUUAGGAGCACCACCAGCAUGUACAUAAUCCACCUCACAACUGUUAAACCGAGCUCUAUGCUUAAAAACAGAAAUCAGUAAUGCACAGCCAACCCACGUGAAAGGGUCUGCUUUAAUAACCUUCACUGUCACUGAUUGCCCUCUGAAUUUAUGGGAUGUGUUUUGAGCGUUUAACCUGCAACCCUGACAGUAGUCUCCUGCCACAAAGUCCUUGUUUACCCGGUGCCUGCUGCAAGCUCUUUGAUCUAUACACAUCUGAGGUUUUUUAUGAUUUAUUCAUAACAUUUUUGAAACACUCUACCAACUAAAAGGGAUACCAUUUAAUCUGUGUUUCUUUAGAGGACCGGGCUGCGUCUUCAGGCUCUCUAAAUUUCACCAGUUGAGCAAGCUUGGCUCCCUCUUCCAUGACACAGGGUAAUGAAUUAGGCUAAAAUGAUUUCCCUGUUGCUUCACUGUGAAUAAAAAUAUGAGAAUCUCUCAUUCUGGAGACAAACGGCACAUGCAAAAUGGCAGCAUGGGCAGCACGAGGAAGAGGCAAUGCAGUAUGACAGUGAUGAACGCUGCCUUCCCCUCCAUAGCAGCACAGUGGCCAUGCCAAGAGUGAAUAUAGUCUGCCGUGUCUGCAGCAGCCUUAUUCUCCAAACAAAAUGGAUUGCAACAGGCUGACUUUCAUGAGCCUGUGAGGUAUUGAGUGUCCUCCUUCACCCAUGCCAUUCAACCCUGUAAAAUUCACUUAAAGAAAUCUCUAUUAUGCUACAACAGUAUUUACCCAGACAUGGGCAAGCAAUGCAAUUGGCAGCGUGUGUCACAGUACUGGCAGAAGAAACUGAGCAAAAGACUUGAUUCUGACCCAGCAGAGUGCUGUUUGGGAGCUGAAUCCCUUCUUAUAAAGCCUUGGAGAAUGAAGAGGUUAUAUCUGUGUGCAUAUAUAUGUGUGUGUGUGUGUAUACGUG
Molecule: long non-coding RNA, 8467 nt
Organism: Gallus gallus (chicken)
Lineage: Eukaryota; Metazoa; Chordata; Aves; Galliformes; Phasianidae
Exons: 7
Source: RefSeq, a predicted model, not a curated record